RNAcentral lists this ribosomal RNA (270 nucleotides) under uncultured archaeon. RNAcentral describes it as "partial 16S ribosomal RNA". It matches the Rfam family "Archaeal small subunit ribosomal RNA", at positions 477 to 747 of the family's 1478-position model. The record is from RNAcentral.
CAGCACCUCAAGUGGUCAGGAUGAUUAUUGGGCUUAAAGCGUCCGUAGCCGGCUUAGCAAGUUUCCUGUUAAACCCAGCGACUCAAUCGUUGGAUCGCGGGAAAUACUACUAGGCUAGGAGGCGGGAGAGGUCAACGGUACUUCUGGGGUAGGGGUGAAAUCCUAUAAUCCCGGGAGGACCACCAGUGGCGAAGGCUGUUGACUAGAACGCGCUCGACGGUGAGGGACGAAAGCUGGGGGAGCGAACCGGAUUAGAUACCCGAGUAGUCC